This is a long non-coding RNA of Strigops habroptila (Kakapo), 1001 nucleotides long. RefSeq lists it as uncharacterized. The record is from RefSeq and is a predicted model, not a curated record. The transcript is spliced from 2 exons. Lineage: Eukaryota; Metazoa; Chordata; Aves; Psittaciformes; Psittacidae.
GGCAGCAGCAUCUCCGGGGCACAGCGCAGUCUCCAUCCUCGGGGGGCUGCAUCUGCCGCACCCCUGCCCUCAGCACAGCGAGAGGGCCCAGCCGGUACCCUCCAACCCCCCCGGCACCUCCAUUCCGGCGGGGAGCCCCCGCCUCGGCGGAGGCUGGAGCCGUGGAUCAAGCAAUGAGGGAGGUCGUAGCCAAAGGAGGGAUCGUCCCAGGUUGGAUCCGGCCGCUUGCCACCGGCCAGGCUCCAUGAGGACACCAGCAUCCCUCCCACCACCUCUCCAGUGGGAAGAUUUGGGGAGGGUUCAUGCAGAAAGCACUUUGGCAGCUGCUUUGCACCCCCGGGUUAAGCAUCCCCACUCCAAGUAAAGGGGAGGUCUUGCCCUCCUGCCCUCACCUCGUGUCCCCCCAUGUCCCCAUGUGUCGUCUCCCCCCCCACACCCCCCCGUCCAUUCCGUGCCGCCGGUGCAGCUGCACCCACGGGCGGUGGCGAGGACACGGUGUCCUCCUGCACUCUGCUCCGGUUGUGCAACACCCGGCUGCACCUCCGGUAAACACCCGGCUCCCACCACGCUGCACCCCUGCAUCGGGCACAAACCGGGCCCUCGGAGCGGGCACGUCCCGGGGAGGGGGGGGGUGCAGGCGGCGAGGCCACGGCAUCACCCGCCUCCAAAAAGCUCCUUUGCUCCCCAAAAUGGGCAUUGGGCAGGUAUCUGGGUACCGGGGAGGGGGGAGGGAAGGAUGGAUUCGGGGUCCGCCGGGGAGCAUCCUGCCUGGGUCAUGUGCCCAAGGCCACCGAUUUACAGGCGGGGCCAUCGAUUUGUGUCGUGACACGAGAAGGAAACGGAGAGAAAACCCAUUUCCUCCGUUCUCCAACGCGCCCCAGAGAGUCACUGAUGUGGCUUUUAGACGUGAAGCCGAGGCGGAGGGACGCGAGGCAGAUUAACGCCGGUUAUUUUUAGCAGAAGACAAGGAUGAAUAAAAAUAUCCCCGAUUUUUAGGUUUA